RNAcentral lists this ribosomal RNA (301 nucleotides) under uncultured bacterium. RNAcentral describes it as "partial 16S ribosomal RNA". It matches the Rfam family "Bacterial small subunit ribosomal RNA", at positions 509 to 809 of the family's 1533-position model. The record is from RNAcentral.
CAGCCGCCGCGGGAAUACGUAGGUGGCAAGCGUCGUCCGGAAUUAUUGGGCGUAAAGGGCUCGCAGGCGGUUUCUUAAGUCUGAUGUGAAAGCCCCCGGCUCAACCGGGGAGGGUCAUUGGAAACUGGGAAACUUGAGUGCAGAAGAGGAGAGUGGAAUUCCACGUGUAGCGGUGAAAUGCGCAGAGAUGUGGAGGAACACCAGUGGCGAAGGCGACUCUCUGGUCUGUAACUGACGCUGAGGAGCGAAAGCGUGGGGAGCGAACAGGAUUAGAUACCCCUGUAGUCCCUGUCUCUUAUAA